RNAcentral lists this transfer RNA (72 nucleotides) under Phrynosoma platyrhinos (Desert horned lizard). Its description in RNAcentral is "tRNA-OTHER". Lineage: Eukaryota; Metazoa; Chordata; Lepidosauria; Squamata; Phrynosomatidae. The record is from RNAcentral.
GCCAGUGUGGCGUAGUGGUUUAUGUGCUGGACUAUGACUCUGGAGACCAGGCUUCAAUUCCCAGCUCGGCCA